RNAcentral lists this ribosomal RNA (439 nucleotides) under uncultured bacterium. Its description in RNAcentral is "partial 16S ribosomal RNA". It matches the Rfam family "Bacterial small subunit ribosomal RNA", at positions 339 to 795 of the family's 1533-position model. The record is from RNAcentral.
CUACGGGAGGCUGCAGUGAGGAAUAUUGCACAAUGGGGUGAACCCUGAUGCAGCAACGCCGCGUGGAGGAUGACGCAUUUCGGUGUGUAAACUCCUUUUAUAUGUCAAGAAAAUGACGGUAGCAUAUGAAUAAGCACCGGCUAACUCCGUGCCAGCAGCCGCGGUAAUACGGAGGGUGCAAGCGUUACUCGGAAUCACUGGGCGUAAAGGACGCGUAGGCGGGUUGGAAAGUCAGGUGUGAAAUCCUACAGCUUAACUGUAGAACUGCACUUGAAACUUCUAAUCUAGAGUAUGGGAGGGGGAGAUGGAAUUAGUGGUGUAGAGGUAAAAUCCGUAGAUAUCACUAGGAAUACCUAAAGCGAAGGCGAUCUCCUGGAACAUUACUGACGCUAAGGCGUGAAAGCGUGGGGAGCAAACAGGAUUAGAUACCCCGGUAGUC